CUUUUUGAAUUUAUAAAAAGUUGUUUCUGCCCGGUGUGAUUGUAUUAACGGCCGCGGUACUUUGACCGUGCGAAGGUAGCGUAAUCAUUUGCCUUAUAAUUGAAGGCUGGUAUGAAUGGGGGUACAAGAGAAAAGCUGUCUCUACGCUUUUAUUAUAAUUUAUUUUAAGGGUGAAGAAACCCUGUUUGAAAAAUUAGACAAGAAGACCCUAUUGAGCUUUACUGAUUUUUAAAUAUAUUAAUUGUUUUCUUUAAUUUUAUAUUUUUUUGUUAGUUUGAUUGGGGCGAUUAAGGAAAUGUAUUAAACUUCCUUUUUUUAUUUAUUUUUAUAUUUUUUUUGAUCCUUGUUAGAGAUAAAUAGAAUAAGUUACCAUAGGGAUAACAGCGUAAUCUUUUUUUAGAGUUCUUAUCAAAAAAAAGGUUUGCGACCUCGAUGUUGGACUAGGGUGUCCUAAGGGUGCAGCGGCUCUUAAUGGUAAGUCUGUUCGACUUUUAAAACCCUACAUGAUCUGAGUUCAGACC
Molecule: ribosomal RNA, 521 nt
Filed under: Cephalothrix sp. 2 TCH-2015
Lineage: Eukaryota; Metazoa; Nemertea; Palaeonemertea; Archinemertea; Cephalotrichidae
Description: partial 16S ribosomal RNA
Rfam family: Bacterial large subunit ribosomal RNA
Source: RNAcentral